This 361-nucleotide ribosomal RNA is filed under the name uncultured bacterium. RNAcentral describes it as "bacterial SSU rRNA". It matches the Rfam family "Bacterial small subunit ribosomal RNA", at positions 355 to 732 of the family's 1533-position model. The record is from RNAcentral.
UGGGGAAUCUUAGACAAUGGGGGCAACCCUGAUCUAGCCAUGCCGCGUGAGUGAUGAAGGCCUUAGGGUUGUAAAGCUCUUUCAGCUGGGAAGAUAAUGACGGUACCAGCAGAAGAAGCCCCGGCUAACUCCGUGCCAGCAGCCGCGGUAAUACGGAGGGGGCUAGCGUUGUUCGGAAUUACUGGGCGUAAAGCGCACGUAGGCGGACUGGAAAGUCAGAGGUGAAAUCCCAGGGCUCAACCUUGGAACUGCCUUUGAAACUAUCAGUCUGGAGUUCGAGAGAGGUGAGUGGAAUUCCGAGUGUAGAGGUGAAAUUCGUAGAUAUUCGGAGGAACACCAGUGGCGAAGGCGGCUCCACUGG